CAUGUAAGUCUGGUGUUUAAUCCCGGGGCUCAACCCCGGAUCGCACUGGAAACUGCGUGACUUGAGUGCAGAAGAGGAGAGUGGAAUUCCACGUGUAGCGGUGAAAUGCGUAGAGAUGUGGAGGAACACCAGUGGCGAAGGCGACUCUCUGGGCUGUAACUGACGCUGAGGCGCGAAAGCGUGGGGAGCAAACAGGAUUAGAUACCCUGGUAGUCCACGCCGUACACGAUGAAUGCUAGGUGUUAGGGGUUUCGAUACCCUUGGUGCCGAAGUUAACACAUUAAGCAUUCCGCCUGGGGGAGUACGGUCGCAAGACUGAAACUCAGAGGAAUUGACGGGGGACCCGCACAAGCAGUGGA
Molecule: ribosomal RNA, 359 nt
Filed under: Paenibacillus barcinonensis
Lineage: Bacteria; Bacillati; Bacillota; Bacilli; Caryophanales; Paenibacillaceae
Description: bacterial SSU rRNA
Rfam family: Bacterial small subunit ribosomal RNA
Source: RNAcentral